This 458-nucleotide ribosomal RNA is filed under the name uncultured bacterium. RNAcentral describes it as "partial 16S ribosomal RNA". It matches the Rfam family "Bacterial small subunit ribosomal RNA", at positions 338 to 795 of the family's 1533-position model. The record is from RNAcentral.
CCUACGGGUGGCAGCAGUGGGGAAUAUUGGUCAAUGGGCGAGAGCCUGAACCAGCCAAGUCGCGUGAGGGAGUACUGCCCUAUGGGUUGUAAACCUCUUUUGUCGGGGAGCAAAAGCCGGACGUGUCCGGCUGUGAGAGUACCCGAAGAAAAAGCGUCGGCUAACCCCGUGCCAGCAGCCGCGGUCAUACGUAGGAUGCCAGCGUUGUCCGGAUUUAUUGGGUGUAAAGGGUGCGCAGUCGGAUUUUUCAGUCGGCGGUAAAAUCGUGGGGCUGAACCCCAUCCAGCCGUGGAAACUGGGGAUCUAGAGUGUGCGAGAGGUAAGCGGAAUGCGUGGUGUAGCGGUGAAAUGCAUAGAUAUCACGCAGAACCCCGGUGGCGAAGGCAGCAUACCGGUGCACAACUGACGCUCAGGCACGAAAGCGUGGGUAUCGAACAGGAUUAGAUACCCCUGUAGUC